Molecule: long non-coding RNA, 328 nt
Organism: Sebastes umbrosus (honeycomb rockfish)
Lineage: Eukaryota; Metazoa; Chordata; Actinopteri; Perciformes; Sebastidae
Exons: 3
Source: RefSeq, a predicted model, not a curated record
UGGGUGUAUGCUUGUAUUCUUGUUUAUACUACCUAUGUUCUUAUGUUUAUGCCUACAUUUGUAUAUUUUGUCUUUAAAUGUAAAGCACUUUGAAAUUACGUGGAAUGAAAUGUGCUAUAUAAACUAGAAUUACCGCCUCACGGUUGUAUGCCUCAGCCAACCAGUCAAGUUCCAGUUUACAUCCCCGUCUGUCCGAAAUGUCAUCACCUCAUUAUUUUAUCCUAUUAGACAUUUGUGUAAAGUUGUCAUAAGUAGCACAUGAAUUCUUGAGUUAUGGCCAAAAACGUGUUUUGUGAGGUCACAGUGACCUUUGACCACCAAAAUCUGU